UACGUAGGGGGCAAGCGUUGUCCGGAAUUAUUGGGCGUAAAGAGCGUGUAGGCGGUCCGGUAAGUCAGCUGUGAAAGUCAAGGGCUCAACCCUUGAAUGCCGGUUGAUACUGUCGGGCUAGAGUCCGGAAGAGGCGAGUGGAAUUCCCGGUGUAGCGGUGAAAUGCGUAGAUAUCUGGAGGAAUACCGGUGGCGAAGGCGGCAUCCUGGACUAUUACUGACGCUGAGGCGCGAAAGCUAGGGGAGCAAACAGG
This 253-nucleotide ribosomal RNA is filed under the name uncultured bacterium. RNAcentral describes it as "partial 16S ribosomal RNA". It matches the Rfam family "Bacterial small subunit ribosomal RNA", at positions 524 to 776 of the family's 1533-position model. The record is from RNAcentral.